UUUUAAUCUCAAUACUACCGAAGGGUUGAUCAAAUUUUGUACUUAUCAAUUGAAAUUUGAAUUGUGCUAUUUUUAGGCAGUAGUAUAUUUGUUUAAUUUUUUCGAUCUUGGUUUUUGCUUCCAAAUUAUGCUUUUUGAUCUAUUUUGUUCUUGUCUUCUUUAUGUCAUUCUAAGCAGUUAGCCGGUGUGGGACUGAAAUUGUGUGGGAUUGUUCUUGUCUUGUUUAUGUCAUUCUAGGUACUGGGAUUAUUCUUGUCCUCCAAAUUAAUUUGAACAUUGCAGUUACUUAACUUAACUGUGUUCUAUCGUUUGUUUUCAUUGUAGAACGGGAGGGAGGAAUAUUGGGAUAUGUCAUAAUUGCUGAGCUAAAGAUCACUUCUUCGCUGGUUGCCCACAAAAAGGCCAAUGCCUUAAGUGCAAAAAUGGAUUCGAGAAGUGUUUUGUAGUGGAGAAGGAAACAAUGAAUAAAAGGCAACUAUUUUUUUGUUGCAGUGAAAAAUGUGGGUUUUGGGACUGGGUUGUGAAAGAACAAUCAAGUGGUCAUUUAUGUGGUGACACCGCUUCUUCAAUUAACCAUGCGACGAAUAAAGUUGUUGAAGAAAUGUCACAUACGUUCCAUCAAAGAGUUCGCCUCACUGAUGAAGAAUACCUAAAGAUUUCAGUGAACGUGAUAAUAUGCAAGGGAAAUGGUAGUGUGGAGGCAGAUGCAAAAGGGAAGGGGUCAAUCUAAUUGUUUGAUAAAUCUUAGUUCUUGGGGUGUGACAUAACUUUUGUAUAUUAGUAUGUUAUUAUGCACAACUUUAUGUGGAUGUAGUUCGUGAAUGAUGGUUUUCAAUUUAUGGUGGUCUGAUAAUAAUCAUAGAGAAAUGCUGGUUGUUACUACUCUCUCAUUUGCAUUCGGUUUAUACCAGUGGUUGCUA
RNAcentral lists this long non-coding RNA (920 nucleotides) under Olea europaea subsp. europaea. Lineage: Eukaryota; Viridiplantae; Streptophyta; Magnoliopsida; Lamiales; Oleaceae. The record is from RNAcentral.